RNAcentral lists this ribosomal RNA (227 nucleotides) under Clostridioides difficile. RNAcentral describes it as "partial 23S ribosomal RNA". It matches the Rfam family "Bacterial large subunit ribosomal RNA", at positions 540 to 766 of the family's 2925-position model. Lineage: Bacteria; Bacillati; Bacillota; Clostridia; Peptostreptococcales; Peptostreptococcaceae. The record is from RNAcentral.
GAAAUAGAACCUGAAACCCUGCACUUACAAGCUGUGGAAGCACAUUUCUUGUGUGACCGCGUACUUUUUGUAGAACGGGCCAACGAGUUACGUUAAGUAGCAAGGUUAAGCACUUAAGGUGUGGAGCCGUAGCGAAAGCGAGUUUUAACUGAGCGUUCAGUUACUUGACGUAGACCCGAAACCGGGCGACCUACCCAUGAGCAGGAUGAAGCGAAAGUAAAAUUUCG